AGCACGUGAUAUUAUUUUUCAAGCAAGGAAUUAAACAACAGGCAUCGCUUUAUUGAGAAUAGCAUGGGCGAUGGUAAAAAAACUCCAACUAGUGGCGCGUCACCGUAAAUUGGUUUGUUAUUAACACAUACUAAUGGUAAGUUGAUCUAACAACAACCAUUAAUAUGGGAUGACUCACCCGUUACACAAGAAAUAUAGACGAAGACACUACGUCCUUCUUUUUUGGAGCGCACCCUUAAUUAUUAAUUAGUACUAGGUCUCUCGGCUUACAGCGUUGUAAUAAGACCCUUUUGAUUGGUAGUACAUGGGGAUAGCUUCCUUCCUGGAGGAAGUUAUUCGGCGAGAGCCACGACCUAAUUGGACAGGGAAUUAAGGGCCCGACCGGCACAGAUGAAUCUUUUCACAGCCGCGGGGGUCGGCCACGUAUGGGUAACCAGGUCUGCCCGAGCAACGACUGAGCUCGCACCAGGUUCUCUUUGCGUCGAGCACCACCUUGCUGGCCGAUGACUGCCCCUCUGCCUGCAGCGCCAGUACCACGCUCCGGUGCGCCUCCGAGUCCAUCUCGGGCGGCUCCAGAUCCUCCACCCUG
This 589-nucleotide long non-coding RNA is filed under the name Panicum hallii. Its description in RNAcentral is "long non-coding RNA (PHAL_LNC000932)". The record is from RNAcentral. Lineage: Eukaryota; Viridiplantae; Streptophyta; Magnoliopsida; Poales; Poaceae.